RNAcentral lists this long non-coding RNA (741 nucleotides) under Pan troglodytes (chimpanzee). RNAcentral describes it as "lincRNA". Lineage: Eukaryota; Metazoa; Chordata; Mammalia; Primates; Hominidae. The record is from RNAcentral.
CAGGAGGCACUCAGAGAACGUUUGUGGAAUGAAUAAAUAAAAGCAUAUUUUGAGGGAAUAAAGAAGCAGAAAAACAAAGAAGAAUCUGGGGAAGAUGGGCAUAAAUCUCCACCAAGUGCUGCCAAGGCUUCCCAGGCGAGGCUACUGAAAAGACCCUGUGGAGCGGCUGCUCUGCCUGGGAUAAACACAUUUCAAGAGUCUCAGUCCCCGCUUUGCCACCAUCUCCUCCUCUGAUCUCCUUUCCUGCUUCAAAAGACUCCAGAAUCUUCUCGGUUCUCAGAGAAGGCUGAAUCCACCUAUGACCUAGUGGGUGCACCCUGUGCCGAAACUGUUUACCUUGUGGUCCCCGGAGCCGUGGGUCACGACCUGGGCCUCACGUAGGCCCGCUCCUCAGCAGACCCCAAUCUGCGGCUUCUCCCACCUCACUGGGGAAGAAGGAGAGCCCUGGGGAUGUGGAGAAGCCCCCCCACCCCCGCCACAUCCCCCACAUCUUACAGAAUCUCGAUCGAAUCCCCGGGGGCACAUCCCUCAGCAGGACAGCAACAGUCUUUGCCGCGGCAUGGGGAGGGCUGUGCUGGGGAUGAGCGCCCAGCGGCCGUGGACUAAGUGAAGGAAAUGACCGUGCUCUUCUCCCAGCUGGAUGGCGAGGCCGGGCAGGAACCGCGGAAUUCCUGCUCUUCGUUUUCAAACACUUUGCUGUCAAGCUAUUUGAAUAAUAAAUACACAUUAUAAAAAUGUAAA